CGUGAAUCAUCGAGUCUUUGAACGCACAUUGCACUCUCUGGUAUUCCGGAGAGUAUGCUUGUUUGAGUAUCUGUAAACAUCUCAACUCUCACGGCGCUUGCGUCGAGAGGAUUGGAUUUGAGCGAUCCCGACUCCUUCGUGAGAAAGAGGAGGGUCGCUUGAAAUGCAGGUGCAGCAGGACAUUCUUCUGAGCUAAAAGCAUAUCUAUUUAGUCCCGUCAAACGGAUUAUUACUUUUGCUUCAGCUAACACAAAGGUUUGAAUGAACCACAAUCGCUGAUUGCAGGAAAACUCGUUCGUAACAGAACGAUUGUGAACUCGAUCUCAAAUCAAGUAAGACUACCCGCUGAACUUAAGCAUAUCAAUAAGCGGAGG
RNAcentral lists this ribosomal RNA (374 nucleotides) under uncultured fungus. RNAcentral describes it as "eukaryotic LSU rRNA". The stretch from base 1 to 72 matches the Rfam family "5.8S ribosomal RNA", at positions 83 to 154 of the family's 154-position model. The record is from RNAcentral. Lineage: Eukaryota; Fungi.